CUUUGUUUGCCUCUCACCCCUAUCCCACUUUCGCCGCCAUUCCCCACUCCCCCUCACUUUCCUGCUGCCCUUAGCCCUGAAAGUAAGAAACCUGACUCUGGGGGGUAUUCAGAUUCUGUCUAGGGGCACCCCAAAACACCUUGGACUGGAGACAAGGAAACAAAAAGAGAAGCCCCCCCAGGGACCACAGGAAUACCCAGAAAACAAGCCCCUCUCCUUCACUAGCCUAAGAAGAGAGCUCUGGGCCCUACUUGAACUACUGCCCCAAGUGGAUGGGCCAGGUAACAGGGAUGCAAACAGAACACACUGGGAACAGGUACGACCAUGACGGCCAGUGUAUCGGGACCUGGCCUGGUCUCCACUCCCAGGCCACUGAGCAGCACGACUGGGUAUGAGCAGCUCUCCCUAGCGCCGCUCAGCUACAGCUGACUUGAGCGUCCUGCCUUCCAGGAGGGAUCUUAACAGCAGAGACGAUCUGAGUACUGUUCCUGGAGCUGGUGGGAGGAUUGGGUAUCCCGGUGUAGCAGCCAAGAGGCCCUCCAAGCUGUGCACUGCCUGGGUGAGCGUCACUCAACCCCUGUGGGUGCGCAUCCUAUAAAUGAGGAUGAUGCCACUUUGGUCCACGGGCGCGUGGUCCAUUUCUGUCCUCCAUUCUAAGGAAUCAAUGACUUGGAGCUUCUCCGCAGGGAAGACCCCGAGCCACAGGGGCACACGCUGUGUGUCGGACACUAUCUUAAGUCAGUGACUCAUCAGGCAUCAAGUAACGAGGCUAAGAAAAGCCCUCCCCUGAGCUCACCUCCCAUCAAUGGAGACAAACAAUUACUUAAGACUUCUAGAAAUACCCCAGGCACUCACAGCCAGCUCCAC
Molecule: long non-coding RNA, 867 nt
Organism: Budorcas taxicolor (takin)
Lineage: Eukaryota; Metazoa; Chordata; Mammalia; Artiodactyla; Bovidae
Exons: 3
Source: RefSeq, a predicted model, not a curated record